This 607-nucleotide ribosomal RNA is filed under the name uncultured bacterium. RNAcentral describes it as "bacterial SSU rRNA". It matches the Rfam family "Bacterial small subunit ribosomal RNA", at positions 8 to 612 of the family's 1533-position model. The record is from RNAcentral.
AGAGUUUGAUCAUGGCUCAGGAUGAACGCUAGCGGCAGGCCUAACACAUGCAAGUCGAGGGGUAACAGGGUUUUCGGACCGCUGACGACCGGCGCACGGGUGCGUAACGCGUAUGCAACCUACCUUUAACAGGAAGAUAGCCCCGAGAAAUCGGGAUUAAUACUCCAUAAUAUUUAUGAGUGGCAUCACUUAUAACUUAAAGCUUUGGCGGUUAAAGAUGGGCAUGCGUGACAUUAGUUUGUUGGUAAGGUAACGGCUUACCAAGACUACGAUGUCUAGGGGUUCUGAGAGGAUUAACCCCCACACUGGUACUGAGACACGGACCAGACUCCUACGGGAGGCAGCAGUGAGGAGUAUUGGGCAAUGGACGCAAGUCUGACCCAGCCAUGCCGCGUGAAGGAUGAAGGCCUUAUGGGUUGUAAACUUCUUUUAUACGGGAAUAAACUUAGCUAUGUAUAGUUAACUGCAGGUACCGUACGAAUAAGCACCGGCUAACUCCGUGCCAGCAGCCGCGGUAAUACGGAGGGUGCAAGCGUUAUCCGGAUUUAUUGGGUUUAAAGGGUCCGCAGGCGGACUAGUAAGUCAGUGGUGAAAUCUCUCGGCUCAA